Molecule: non-coding RNA, 165 nt
Organism: Pelobates cultripes (western spadefoot toad)
Lineage: Eukaryota; Metazoa; Chordata; Amphibia; Anura; Pelobatidae
Source: the annotation of a GenBank genome assembly
GACAAAAACAGAAAAAUUGAUAACCUGCGCCUAAAACCUAUAAAUCUUUAGGUGGAAUCAAAAACAGGGUCUUGUUUGAUGACGAAUCUCUCAAAAAGACAAAAAGGAUUCCACCUAACGAUUUAAAGGUUUUAGGCACGGGUUAUCAAUUUUUCUGUUUUGGUC